Non-coding RNA from Cinara cedri, 279 nucleotides. The record is from the annotation of a GenBank genome assembly. Lineage: Eukaryota; Metazoa; Arthropoda; Insecta; Hemiptera; Aphididae.
CUCUGACAUAAUAGAUGUUAUAAAAAUAAAUAUAAUAUAACAUUGUGUAUCAUUGACAGGGUGAACAUUUACUUGCUUAUUAAGCCUAGUAUUUCUUUGUUUUUAAAUAUUACCUUUUAAAUAAUUAAAAUAAUUAUUACAGACUAUCAGACAUCUACAUUGGGGUAUUGUACUUUCAUUCAUCCUACCAAGUGUUAUUCAUAAAUGUACUCUUAGUCUGGUUCCACCCAUUUUCAGUGGGAGAUAACAUUACCACCACAAGUUUUAUACAGUGGUCUA